GGCUUAGUGGUGUAGUGGUAGCAUAUCCUAAUAUCAACGGACUGAGUAUGAACUCAGAUAAAUCGUUGAUGCUGGGGAGGUCGUGGGUUCAAAUCCCACCUAGGCUG
This 107-nucleotide transfer RNA is filed under the name Hypoxylon rubiginosum. RNAcentral describes it as "tRNA-Asp". It matches the Rfam family "tRNA". Rfam says of the family: Transfer RNA (tRNA) molecules are approximately 80 nucleotides in length. Their secondary structure includes four short double-helical elements and three loops (D, anti-codon, and T loops). Lineage: Eukaryota; Fungi; Ascomycota; Sordariomycetes; Xylariales; Hypoxylaceae. The record is from RNAcentral.